AACGAACGCUGGCGGCAGGCCUAACACAUGCAAGUCGAGCGCGCCCUUCGGGGUGAGCGGCGGACGGGUGAGUAACGCGUGGGAACGUGCCCUUUUCUACGGAAUAGCCUCGGGAAACUGAGAGUAAUACCGUAUACGCCCUUUGGGGGAAAGAUUUAUCGGAAAAGGAUCGGCCCGCGUUGGAUUAGGUAGUUGGUGGGGUAAUGGCCUACCAAGCCGACGAUCCAUAGCUGGUGUGAGAGGAUGACCAGCCACACUGGGACUGAGACACGGCCCAGACUCCUACGGGAGGCAGCAGUGGGGAAUCUUAGACAAUGGGGGCAACCCUGAUCUAGCCAUGCCGCGUGAGUGAUGAAGGCCUUAGGGUUGUAAAGCUCUUUCAGCUGGGAAGAUAAUGACGGUACCAGCAGAAGAAGCCCCGGCUAACUCCGUG
Molecule: ribosomal RNA, 433 nt
Filed under: uncultured bacterium
Lineage: Bacteria
Description: partial 16S ribosomal RNA
Rfam family: Bacterial small subunit ribosomal RNA
Source: RNAcentral